RNAcentral lists this ribosomal RNA (198 nucleotides) under uncultured Acidobacteriota bacterium. RNAcentral's name for it is "uncultured Acidobacteria bacterium partial 16S ribosomal RNA". It matches the Rfam family "Bacterial small subunit ribosomal RNA", at positions 335 to 524 of the family's 1533-position model. The record is from RNAcentral. Lineage: Bacteria; Pseudomonadati; Acidobacteriota.
ACUCCUACGGGAGGCAGCAGUGGGGAAUUGUUCGCAAUGGGCGCAAGCCUGACGACGCAACGCCGCGUGGAGGAUGAAGAUUUUCGGAUCGUAAACUCCUGUCGAAUGGGACGAACAGAUUGCGGGUUAACAGCCCGUAGUCCUGACGGUACCGUUAAAGGAAACCCCGGCUAACUCCGUGCCAGCAGCCGCGGUAAU